UUGCGCAGACCGGCGACUUCAUCGUAAGGUAGUCGAUAAGCGUUCCGUGGACGCGCGGCUCGUACGUACGUUCUCUCGUGGCAGGACGAGCGAGAUCGCGGAGCACUCGUAGUCGAUCGAGCGCUCGUAGCCGACCCUCGAUUCACCCUCGAGUCGCCUCGUCGUUGCGCGUCACGAUGAACGAUCGCGAGCGGGGCUACAAAUUUGGGCGUGAGCCUUCUUCUGUCAACCGUACAUUGUGAAAGCACGUUGCACGGGAGCGACAUUUCUCGGUCUUUUUUUUUCUCUCUCUCUCUCUCCCCCCCUCUCUCCCUCUCUCUCGAGCGAUCGAAUCCCGUGGGGCCAGGCGUGGUGAAUUGAGCGCGAUCCUCUCGGACACUUGGCGUGGCAUCGAAGACGGUGGGCGUGUGUGUAUGUGCGCGUAUGUGUGUGGGGAUGAACUGCACGGGAAGUGUAAAGUGAAAUAAAGGAGGAGGAAGAGGUGGAGGAGUUGGAGGAAGGAGUGGAGGGGGAGGAGGAGGGGGAGGAGGAGGAGGAUUGGGACGCUUCCUGUGUCUCGGUGAUCCGAUCUAAAAAAGUUCCGCAGGUAGAACCGCGCGAUCGAAUGUCUUUUCGAUGUGACGAAAAUGAUGAAGUGUGGGAGAGAGCGGGCAUUGAGUGAAGGCUUCGAUACCUCGAAUCAUGACAGAGGCGUCGGACGAUGGUAACUAUCUGGUGAGGGUCCGCGCCCAGGUAAUGACGAGAGAUGAUAGCUCGGGUGGUUGGGUUCCUUUGAGUGGUGGUGGAUUGGCAAAUGUCUCGGUUAGACGUAGGAUUACUUCAUCAGGAAUACAUCAAACAAACAAUACCAAUGGAAACAAUAUUUCUACUACAACCAACUCCGCACAUCCUAUCUCGAAUGCAACUGUUGGCCUUCAAAGUCAUGGAUCUUCUAAUAUCUCUCCGCCUGGUGCAAAUAAAAGAAAGCACGAGUAUCUUAUUUAUGGCAAACGCAUUACUGAUCAAUCGGUUGUUCUUAGUUGUAUAAUUAAAAAAGAUUUUGAAUAUAAUAAAGUGAUGCCAACUUUUCAUCAUUGGCGAACAGGGGAAAAAAAGUUUGGAUUAACAUUUCAAACAGCUGCCGAUGCAAGAGCAUUUGACAAAGGAGUUCGAACAGCAGUUGAAGAAUUGUUGGAAGGUCUGUCUGAUUUAACAUUAACCACUAAUGCUCCAGAUGCUGGGGACGAAGAUGUUUUUAUGACUUUGAAUUUGCCAGUGGAACCACCUGAGCCACGUUCCUCUUCAGACACACCUCAUGGAAUAGUUCGAGUACCAAAUUAUUCUCAAUAUUCAGAGCCUCCUGAUUCACAUCGAUCUAUUCAUCACAUUGGUGGUUCGUCCGUUAAGGGCCCUCCGUCGCAACAUCCUUUAGCAUCCGCUGCAGAUAUUGGAUCGGAUAACUAUCCUUAUGUGCAACUCACGACGCUUAAUCAUGAAUAUUUAUAUCCUAUCAUCGACGAUCACAAAAGUGAGAGAUUAGACGGACAUAAUACUCCCAAUAGUGGAAGUUCUCUAAAGAAGCCAGAUAUUAUAAUAUCCCAACCUUCGAAAAAUACUAUGAAACGUAAUGUACGUUUACGUUGCAAGCAUUGUCAAGAGCUGUACUCAGAACAGCAUAAUCCGAAAGGUUCCUGCGAAUACGCUCCUGAUCCAAUUAGACGUGGAAUCGCGAAAGUUUCUUGUUUAUCGUGUGCCCAAUGUAUGUUAUAUCAUUGUAUGAGUGACGCUGAAGGUGACUUUGCACAAAAUCCUUGUAGGAAUCUGUUGCAAAUUAAAUUUUUCGCUUGGAGAUUGUAUAAAAAAUAUUAAAUCAGUUUUUUUAGAAAAUAACUUUGGACACAAUGCUACUUUUGAGACUAUACUUGUAGUACAGAAGAGGGAUGCGGACGCAGAUGGUUUGGUUUGGCCUUGUUGUCACUGAUCGUUCCUUGCUUGUGGAUAUAUCCUCCACUUAGAGCUAUACAUUGGUGCGGGAUGUCCUGUGGAAUGUGCGGCGGUCGUCAUCACCCUAUGGAAUAACUGGAGGAACCCUUUGAUAUCUCUGCUCCGUACUCAAUUGGAUCAAACAACUUUCCUGCAUCGUGUAAUGCAGUCGCCAAUGUGUAUGAAUGUCAUGAUCUAAGUAUGGGUCGUUGUCAGAGAUAUCAAAGGGGUAGACAACUUCCAGUACAUGCACUUAUUCAUCAGCGUCAUCUUUAAAAUAAAAUACAGUCAAAGUGGAAAUACCCAAUUUAGCACAAGAUGUCGCAUAUAGCCAACAUAAUGUAUAUUCCGUACAUUUUGUAUAUUUUAUUAGAGCAAGAUACGUUACUUAGUCUCACCUGUACAUUAAACAAUUUGAGGUAAAUUAGUAUUUACAGUUUGAAUGAUUAAUCUAUGGAAAGCACAUCAAAUGGACUCAGACCAACUAUUUGUGAUACAUGGUGCACAUUGUGAGAGUGUAACUUCUGUGAGUCGAAUAAAAAUUAAUUUUGUUCUUAGUUUCACUAAUUUUCACACACACACACACACACACAAUAUACUCACAAUAUUUAAUGGAGAAAUAGAUAAGAUAACUAAAUUAAUUUUGCUGGAGUUCUUAGAUUGUAGAAUGUAAUGUAUCCUGUGAUUGUUAAAUCUGAUACCCAAUAACUUGAAUUGCCAAGCUAAUCUUUGUUGACUUCAUUCUUUAUAACAUAUCGUAGGAUUAAAAAAUAAAAAUCUUUUGCUUACAAGUUUUCUUUAAUAGUGUAAACAAUAAUUGACAAAUCUAUAUAUGUAUAUAUAUGUUUGAAAAUAAGUAUAUAC
This 2826-nucleotide unclassified non-coding RNA is filed under the name Camponotus floridanus (Florida carpenter ant). Its description in RNAcentral is "sprouty-related, EVH1 domain-containing protein 1, transcript variant X4". Lineage: Eukaryota; Metazoa; Arthropoda; Insecta; Hymenoptera; Formicidae. The record is from RNAcentral.